This is a long non-coding RNA of Carya illinoinensis, 1119 nucleotides long. RefSeq lists it as uncharacterized. The record is from RefSeq and is a predicted model, not a curated record. The transcript has 2 exons. NCBI's taxonomy places the organism in Eukaryota, Viridiplantae, Streptophyta, Magnoliopsida, Fagales, Juglandaceae.
UGCUCAUCGAGCGGUUCGCUGCCUGAGAUGGAGUUGUCACAUUCAACGAAGAGUUGAGACUUCUUUACAAAGACCACUGAUUCUAUGUUUUUCUUCGUAGUUUGUUCCUCAAGUGUCUUUACUCGCUCUUGCAGUUGUUUCAGAUGAGUUUGAUCGAACAAUUACAACUGAAAAUGACAGAGAAGGAAAACAAGAUAUAUUUUAUACAGAGGCGGUUUAACAAGGCUGGCAGAUAAUUUAGAUAAGAUACCUAGAGGAUGUAGUCAAAGAGAUGGUAUAGUCCAAUUCCAGCUUAGCAAUUAUAUAUAUAUAUGUAUUGUUUGAAAGCUAAGUUUAUACUUUCUAAUCUCAUUUUCUUUUGUGUUCUAUCAAUUCUGGGAUAAUAAAAAUAUAAACAAAAGAACAAAAUAAUCCAAGAGGCAACAUCAAGAAAACAAAAUUUUUAGUGAAUCUGAUACCUUCUUCAGGCCAGGAACUAUAGCAGACAAAGCAAUGAACCGCUGGCUGAGCUUCUCUCGCCUUUUCCUUUCUGCUAUAAUGUGAUCUUGUGUUUGAGAAAGUCUAGUGCUUGUGCUAAUCCUCUUACCACCAUGGCAGGCCUUAAAUACAUAAUUUUGGUUCCCCAAGGAACCUUGAGAAAUUAAAAUAUCAGAAGGAAGGGUAUUCACGCUCUGGGAACAUACUGCCUCCUCUUUAGGCUUUACAAUCCCCAUUUGAUUUGCAUAGUUCGCAUUGGCAAAUGAUAGAACGUUUGGAGUAGGAGGAAGUUGGGGAUAUGAUGCAUCUUCAAGUUUGUAAGAGUUCCAGCCGUUGGAUUUGAGCUGUUUCAUGGGUAUGUCAGUACCAGUCUGAGGAGUUGCCAUGGCGUUUUUGAGAUUGAAGUUUGGUUGAGUGAAUGAGUGUUGCAAACUCUCUCCAAAUGUAGCUGCUAGUGGUAGUAUGCUGAGCUCAUCAACAGAGUUCAUGUGCCACUGAUUGAUGAACCUAGGAUCCUCCAUACCCUGCAAAUUUGAUAUUUUCCUCGUUAUCAUUAUCUUAUAGCACUCGUAUAUAGAAUACCAACAAUAUUGACUUGUUCAAAACAAAAAUUUUAGUAACAUCCUUAUUCAUAGAAUUCCA